RNAcentral lists this long non-coding RNA (372 nucleotides) under Capsicum annuum. RNAcentral's name for it is "long non-coding RNA (CANN_LNC006134)". The record is from RNAcentral. Lineage: Eukaryota; Viridiplantae; Streptophyta; Magnoliopsida; Solanales; Solanaceae.
UUUUAUGGGGAAGAUCUAAAGAUUUGCUUGAGGGAAUCAAUGAAUUGUAGCACAUGAGGUAAAAAAAAUACAAUCUUGAUGAAUUGGGUUUGUUAGAUUUUCUUGUAUUAAGUGAAUGGAUAUUGUAUUUGCAUAAUAUUGGGAUGAGAACGAUCUUGAUGAAUUGGGUUUGCUAGAUUUUCUUGUAUUAAGUGAAUGGAUAUUAUAUUUGAUUAAUAGUGGGAUGAGAACAAUCUUGAUGAAUUGGGUUUGCUAGAUUUUCUUUUAUUAAGUGAAUGGAUAUUGUAUUCGUAUAAUAUUGUGAUGAGAUGAUUUAAGUGAAGUAACGCAGUCAGUGAGGAUUCAUAUAGCCGACCCCAACUUAUUUAGGAC